ACGAACGCUGGCGGCAUGCCUAGCCCAUGCAAGUCGCACGCGACCUUCGGGUCUAGUGGCGCACGGGUGCGUAACGCGUGGGAACCUGCCCUUAGGUUCGGAAUAACUCCCCGAAAGGGGUGCUAAUACCGGAUAAUGUCUUCGGACCAAAGAUUUAUCGCCUUUGGAUGGGCCCGCGUUGGAUUAGCUAGUUGGUAGGGUAAAAGCCUACCAAGGCGACGAUCCAUAGCUGGUCUGAGAGGAUGAUCAGCCACACUGGGACUGAGACACGGCCCAGACUCCUACGGGAGGCAGCAGUGGGGAAUAUUGGACAAUGGGCGAAAGCCUGAUCCAGCAAUGCCGCGUGAGUGAUGAAGGCCUUAGGGUUGUAAAGCUCUUUUACCCGGGAUGAUAAUGACAGUACCGGGAGAAUAAGCGCCGGCUAACUCCGUG
RNAcentral lists this ribosomal RNA (432 nucleotides) under uncultured bacterium. RNAcentral's name for it is "partial 16S ribosomal RNA". It matches the Rfam family "Bacterial small subunit ribosomal RNA", at positions 29 to 507 of the family's 1533-position model. The record is from RNAcentral.